CGGAAAUGGUAUUAGAAAUACCUCCAAGCCGAUAAGGCUUUGAGGAGUUUGGUGGGAGACCUCGGACAGCUGCCAUAAUGAGCUGCCUUGCGAUCCCCACGCCCCCCUCGCCCCAACCCUGGUCCUCCCUGCACGGAGGGCUCCACACAGACGUGAUGACCGGGAAUGCUGGCUGUCCCCCAGCAGGCUGGUCCAGGCCAGGGAAGAGUCCAGACCUGAUGAACACAGCCUCUGGAUCCGGUGGCCAAGGACAGACGCCGGGGAAGUUUGGAAAAACACCUCGACCUGAGCCAAAUCAGCCACUGUGUUUGGAGAAAGAAGAGAACGGAUGCUUCCUGUCCACGUUAAGGCACUCGAGGUCAUAUAGACAAGACAAUGGAAUCUGCGUGGUGGAUAUGCUAUCUGGCCUCCUCUGGGCUACUCUGCCCAAUUUUGCAUUCGGUGACAUCAUGUUGUCAUUCAGUGACCAUCACAUCGGCAGCAUGAAAAUGUAGCCAUGUGUAGCCAUGGUGGAAAUAUGGACACCAUGUUCAUCAGCUACAGAUCAAGGCUUUCCUUCCCGAGGAUCAGAUGUUUAAACGUUUACCAGCACACCAUCGCUCCCAGGCAUAGAGCACCUGUCUAGGGCGUGCAACUGGUGUGGGGAGAAGUUUCAAGAGUAAGAGGAGGAAAAAGUACAGAACAGGAGACUGUCUACAUUGAAUGCAAAUUUGGGCACACAAAGGUUUCUGUAUUCCUGGCCUGAUCAUGGCAUUUAAGGCUCAGGAAGGGUUUGCCAGCUUUAGGAACAGAUGAAUGCCAUGAAGAAGGGCUUCCACUGGAAAACACAGGACGACCCACCUCGCUUCUCACAAGGCCAGGGGUGAAUGAGUUGAGUGUGUGUUCUUGGGGGCCCCUGGCAGGGGAAACCAACAAGUGGUCCUCCCGCUCCCUCCC
RNAcentral lists this long non-coding RNA (936 nucleotides) under Mustela putorius furo (domestic ferret). RNAcentral's name for it is "lncRNA (ENSMPUG00000028624.1)". The record is from RNAcentral. Lineage: Eukaryota; Metazoa; Chordata; Mammalia; Carnivora; Mustelidae.